This is a long non-coding RNA of Aplysia californica (California sea hare), 423 nucleotides long. RefSeq lists it as uncharacterized. NCBI's taxonomy places the organism in Eukaryota, Metazoa, Mollusca, Gastropoda, Aplysiida, Aplysiidae. The record is from RefSeq and is a predicted model, not a curated record. The transcript is spliced from 2 exons.
CCAUCCAGACGGGCACUGCCGCACCAGCCACCACUGACCUGCCGAUGACCACAGGCGAUAUGAUGACCAUGACCACAACCACCGGUGCUCCGGCCAGUACGGUCAGUGUGACCACCCCCUCUAUGCCGAUGGUCAACACCAGCGUGAUCACAGCCACGGUGAGUCAGUGCAAUGACCAUCUGGACGGCGGCAUGGACUGUACGGCGCUCAGUGGCGUCUGCUCUUCUGUGCUGGCUCUCAGCGUCUGCCCCAAGUUCUGCGGACUUUGCUAGAAUUCCCGGAACAUGAUGCUGCCCCGACCUCCCACACCACACGGGAAAAGUUGGCCCCUGAGCUCUGAGUCUGAGCUAGAAGACAGCUAGUAUUGCUUUGCACGCACUCACCAACGAAAAGAAAUAAAACAUGGUUGAAAUGAGCAAGGAA